Molecule: ribosomal RNA, 533 nt
Filed under: uncultured Arthrobacter sp.
Lineage: Bacteria; Bacillati; Actinomycetota; Actinomycetes; Micrococcales; Micrococcaceae
Description: bacterial SSU rRNA
Rfam family: Bacterial small subunit ribosomal RNA
Source: RNAcentral
AGAGCUCGUAGGCGGGUUGUCGCGUCUGCCGUGAAAGUCCGAGGCUCAACCUCGGAUCUGCGGUGGGUACGGGCAGACUAGAGUGAUGUAGGGGAGACUGGAAUUCCUGGUGUAGCGGUGAAAUGCGCAGAUAUCAGGAGGAACACCGAUGGCGAAGGCAGGUCUCUGGGCAUUUACUGACGCUGAGGAGCGAAAGCAUGGGGAGCGAACAGGAUUAGAUACCCUGGUAGUCCAUGCCGUAAACGUUGGGCACUAGGUGUGGGGGACAUUCCACGUUUUCCGCGCCGUAGCUAACGCAUUAAGUGCCCCGCCUGGGGAGUACGGCCGCAAGGCUAAAACUCAAAGGAAUUGACGGGGGCCCGCACAAGCGGCGGAGCAUGCGGAUUAAUUCGAUGCAACGCGAAGAACCUUACCAAGGCUUGACAUGUGCCAGACCGCUCCAGAGAUGGGGUUUCCCUUCGGGGCUGGUUCACAGGUGGUGCAUGGUUGUCGUCAGCUCGUGUCGUGAGAUGUUGGGUUAAGUCCCGCAACGA